GAUGAACGCUAGCGGCAGGCCUAAUACAUGCAAGUCGAGGGAGAAUGUUGGAUUCGUCUGACAUGAAACCGGCGCACGGGUGCGUAACACGUAUGCAACCUACCUUUAACUGGGGUAUAGCUCAGAGAAAUCUGAAUUAAUCCCCCAUAAGACUACGACAUGGCAUCAUGAUGUAGUUAAAGCUCCGGCGGUGAAGGAUGGGCAUGUGGUACAUUAGCUAGUUGGUGAGGUAAUGGCUCACCAAGGCUACGAUGUAUAGGGGGUCUGAGAGGAUGAUCCCGCACACUGGUACUGAGACACGGACCAGACUCCUACGGGAGGCAGCAGUAGGAAAUAUUGGUCAAUGGACGCAAGUUUGAACCAGCCAUGCCGCGUGAAGGAUGAAGGCCCUAUGGGUCGUAAACUUCUUUUAUUAGGGAAGAAAAAACGGGAUGCGUCCUGUACUGACGGUACUUAAUGAAUAAGGAUCGGCUAACUUCGUGCCAGCCGCCGCCGUAA
This 498-nucleotide ribosomal RNA is filed under the name uncultured bacterium. Its description in RNAcentral is "partial 16S ribosomal RNA". It matches the Rfam family "Bacterial small subunit ribosomal RNA", at positions 28 to 523 of the family's 1533-position model. The record is from RNAcentral.